Molecule: ribosomal RNA, 253 nt
Filed under: uncultured bacterium
Lineage: Bacteria
Description: partial 16S ribosomal RNA
Rfam family: Bacterial small subunit ribosomal RNA
Source: RNAcentral
UACGUAGGUGGCUAGCGUUGUCCGGAUUUACUGGGCGUAAAGAGCGCGCAGGCGGUCGAUCAAGUCGAGUGUGAAAGCCCCCGGCUCAACUGGGGAGGGUCAUUCGAUACUGAUCGACUCGAAGGCAGGAGAGGGUAGUGGAAUUCCCGGUGUAGUGGUGAAAUGCGUAGAUAUCGGAAGGAACAUCAGUGGCGAAAGCGACUUCCUGGACCAAUACUGACGCUCAUGUGCGAAAGCGUGGGGAGCAAACAGG